This 62-nucleotide microRNA precursor is filed under the name Medicago truncatula (barrel medic). RNAcentral describes it as "MIR5291 microRNA precursor family". It matches the Rfam family "MIR5291 microRNA precursor family". The record is from Rfam by way of RNAcentral. Lineage: Eukaryota; Viridiplantae; Streptophyta; Magnoliopsida; Fabales; Fabaceae.
GAUGGAUUCAAUACAAUCCAUUAAAAAAUAUUGUUUAGUGGAUGGAUUUAAUGAAUUUUGUA